CCUACGGGAGGCAGCAGUGAGGAAUAUUGCUCAAUGGACGAAAGUCUGAAGCAGCGACGCCGCGUGAGGGAUGAAGUCCGUUUGGAUGUAAACCUCUUUUGCAGAAGAAGAAUGUUUCGAUUUCUCGAAAUUGACGGUAUUUUGCGAAUAAGCACCGGCUAACUACGUGCCAGCAGCCGCGGUAAUACGUAGGGUGCGAGCGUUGUCCGGAAUUACUGGGUGUAAAGGGUCCGCAGGCGGGCGAGUAAGUCUGUGGUGAAAUCUUACGGCUUAACCGUAAAUUGCCACGGAAACUGCUUGCCUUGAGUGUGAAAGAGGAAGAUGGAAUUCAUGGUGUAGCAGUGAAAUGCGUAGAUAUCAUGAAGAACACCGGUAGCGAAGGCGAUCUUCUGGUUCACAACUGACGCUCAGGGACGAAAGCGUGGGGAGCAAAACGAGGAUUAGACUACCCGUGGUACGUCCGACCGACCCGUAACCCUAACGUAGGUAGUACUACGUACGUAGUCGGUAGUACGAACGUAAGUUACGGUUGUUCGUGUAG
RNAcentral lists this ribosomal RNA (541 nucleotides) under uncultured bacterium. RNAcentral's name for it is "bacterial SSU rRNA". It matches the Rfam family "Bacterial small subunit ribosomal RNA", at positions 338 to 793 of the family's 1533-position model. The record is from RNAcentral.